Molecule: long non-coding RNA, 286 nt
Organism: Physeter macrocephalus (sperm whale)
Lineage: Eukaryota; Metazoa; Chordata; Mammalia; Artiodactyla; Physeteridae
Exons: 3
Source: RefSeq, a predicted model, not a curated record
GCCACAGAGAGAAGUUGGGUUCCCGCACCGCCGAGUUCAAGCCCGCCGAGGGCGGGGAGGCAUUCCCAGAGGAGGAGAGGAUGGCGCAGCGAAAGGCUAGAGCGUUUUAACUCCUGCAGCCCCGGCACACGUUUUCAGACCGAGGAUUGGUGGUCCCUGUUGCAGGCUCGGCUUCUUUGUAAACUCGGAGCCCUUCGGAGAUGAGGACUGGGGAGCCUGAGACCCUAAGACCAAAGUGGAGGAGAAAAUGAUAAAUGUCCGUUACCGAUCGUCAGCAUAAAGUGCC